AGGCGUGUAGCUCAAUUGGCAGAGCAACGGUCUCCAAAACCGUAGGCUGGGGGUUCGAGUCCCUCCACGCCUG
This 73-nucleotide transfer RNA is filed under the name Candidatus Eiseniibacteriota bacterium. RNAcentral's name for it is "tRNA-Trp". It matches the Rfam family "tRNA". Rfam says of the family: Transfer RNA (tRNA) molecules are approximately 80 nucleotides in length. Their secondary structure includes four short double-helical elements and three loops (D, anti-codon, and T loops). Lineage: Bacteria; Candidatus Eiseniibacteriota. The record is from RNAcentral.